GGCCCGGUGGUGUAGUUGGCCUAACACACAGCCCUGUCAAGGCUGAGAUCGGGGGUUCGAAUCCCCUCCGGGUCGCCA
RNAcentral lists this transfer RNA (78 nucleotides) under Dehalococcoidia bacterium. RNAcentral's name for it is "tRNA-Asp". It matches the Rfam family "tRNA". Rfam says of the family: Transfer RNA (tRNA) molecules are approximately 80 nucleotides in length. Their secondary structure includes four short double-helical elements and three loops (D, anti-codon, and T loops). Further hydrogen bonds mediate the characteristic L-shaped molecular structure. tRNAs have two regions of fundamental functional importance: the anti-codon, which is responsible for specific mRNA codon recognition, and the 3' end, to which the tRNAs corresponding amino acid is attached (by aminoacyl-tRNA synthetases). tRNAs cope with the degeneracy of the genetic code in two manners: having more than one tRNA (with a specific anti-codon) for a particular amino acid; and 'wobble' base-pairing, i.e. permitting non-standard base-pairing at the 3rd anti-codon position. Lineage: Bacteria; Bacillati; Chloroflexota; Dehalococcoidia. The record is from RNAcentral.